Molecule: non-coding RNA, 151 nt
Filed under: Desulfosporosinus sp.
Lineage: Bacteria; Bacillati; Bacillota; Clostridia; Eubacteriales; Desulfitobacteriaceae
Also listed under: 1 other name
Description: FMN sequence
Rfam family: FMN riboswitch aptamer (RFN element)
About the family: The RFN element is a highly conserved domain that is found frequently in the 5'-untranslated regions of prokaryotic mRNAs that encode for flavin mononucleotide (FMN) biosynthesis and transport proteins. This element is a metabolite-dependent riboswitch that directly binds FMN in the absence of proteins.
Source: RNAcentral
ACUUAUUCUCAGGGCGGGGUGCAAGUCCCCACCGGCGGUAUCCCAGAUGAUUCUGGGGAGCCCGCGAGCGCUCCUUUUGUUUAAAAAGGAGGUCAGCAGAUCUGGUUUAAAUCCAGAGCCGACGGUAUAGUCCGGAUGAAAGAGGAUAAGG